RNAcentral lists this ribosomal RNA (497 nucleotides) under uncultured bacterium. Its description in RNAcentral is "partial 16S ribosomal RNA". It matches the Rfam family "Bacterial small subunit ribosomal RNA", at positions 27 to 507 of the family's 1533-position model. The record is from RNAcentral.
GGGGGGGGGGGGGGGGGGGGGGGGGGGGGGGGGGGCGAGCGGGCGGGCGAGGGGCUGGCGGCGCGGGGGGUGGCGGCGGACGGGUGAGUCACGCGUGGGUCACCUCCCUAUAAGACUGGGAUACCUUCGGGACGCCGGAGCUACUACCGGAUAAUAUUUUGACCCGCAUGGUUCAGAAGUGACAGACGGUCUUUCUGUCACUUCUCUAUGCAUCCGCGCUGCAUUAGCUAGUUGGUCAGGUAACGGCGUACCAAGGCAACGAUGCAGAGCCGACCUGAGAGGGUGAUCGGCCACACUGGAACUGAGACACGGUCCAGACUCCUACGGGAGGCAGCAGUAGGGAAUCUUCCGCAAAGGGCGAAAGCCUGACGGAGCAACGCCGCGUGAGUGAUGAAGGUCUUCGGAUCGUAAAACUCUGUUAUUAGGGAAGAACAUAUGUGUAAGUAACUGUGCACAUCUUGACGGUACCUAAUCAGAAAGCCACGGCUAACUACGUG